CCUACGGGAGGCUGCAGUGAGGAAUAUUGGUCAAUGGGCGCGAGCCUGAACCAGCCAAGUAGCGUGAAGGAUGACUGCCCUACGGGUUGUAAACUUCUUUUAUAAAGGAAUAAAGUGGGGCACGUGUGCCUUUUUGUAUGUCCUUUAUGAAUAAGGAUCGGCUAACUCCGGGCCAGCAGCCGCGGUAAUACGGAGGAGCCGAGCGUUAUCCGGUUUUAUUGUGUUUAAAGGGAGCGUAGAUGGGUUGUUAAGUCAGUUGUGAAAGUUUGCGGCUCAACCGUAAAAUUGCAAUUGAUACUGGCAGUCUUGAGUACAGUUGAGGUAGGCGGAAUUCGUGGUGUAGCGGUGAAAUGCUUAGAUAUCACGAAGAACUCCGAUUGCGAAGGCAGCUUACUAAACUGCCACUGACAUUGAUGCUCGAAAGUGUGGGUAUCAAACAGGAUUAGAUACCCCGGUAGUC
RNAcentral lists this ribosomal RNA (460 nucleotides) under uncultured bacterium. Its description in RNAcentral is "partial 16S ribosomal RNA". It matches the Rfam family "Bacterial small subunit ribosomal RNA", at positions 338 to 795 of the family's 1533-position model. The record is from RNAcentral.